Molecule: ribosomal RNA, 259 nt
Filed under: uncultured bacterium
Lineage: Bacteria
Description: partial 16S ribosomal RNA
Rfam family: Bacterial small subunit ribosomal RNA
Source: RNAcentral
GUCCACGCCUAACGAUGUCAACUGGUUGUUGGGUCUUCACUGACUCAGUAACGAAGCUAACGCGUGAAGUUGACCGCCUGGGGAGUACGGCCGCAAGGUUGAACUCAAGGAAUUGACGGGGACCCGCACAAGCGGUGGAUGAUGUGGUUUAAUUCGAUGCAACGCGAAACCUUAACCCACCUUUGACAUGUACGGAAGUCGCUAGAGAUAGCUUCGUGCUCGAAAGAGAGCCGUAACACAGGUGCUGCAUGGCUGUCGU